UGCAUCGGCCGGGAAUCGAACCCGGGCCGCCCGCGUGCAGGCGAGCAUUCUAUCACUGAACCACCGAUGG
This 70-nucleotide transfer RNA is filed under the name Cordylochernes scorpioides. RNAcentral's name for it is "tRNA-OTHER". Lineage: Eukaryota; Metazoa; Arthropoda; Arachnida; Pseudoscorpiones; Chernetidae. The record is from RNAcentral.